Molecule: ribosomal RNA, 254 nt
Filed under: uncultured bacterium
Lineage: Bacteria
Description: partial 16S ribosomal RNA
Rfam family: Bacterial small subunit ribosomal RNA
Source: RNAcentral
UACGAAGGAUGCAAGCGUUAUCCGGAUUCAUUGGGUUUAAAGGGAGCGUAGGUGGCCUUAUAAGUCAGUGGUGAAAUCUCUGGGCUUAACCCAGAAAUUGCCAUUGAUACUGUAGGGCUUGAGUAUAGUUGCCGUUGGCGGAAUAUGACAUGUAGUGGUGAAAUACAUAGAGAUGUCAUAGAACACCGAUUGCGAAGGCAGCUGACGAAACUAUAACUGACACUGAGGCUCGAAAAGUGCGGGGAUCAAACAGG